AGCAUCUCUCUGAGAAGCCCUUUCAAGCAAAAUCCAAACAGGACCAGAGAACCUCAGACCGUCCCCAACCCCCCUGUGAGGUCCGCGGGUUGUGGAAUCUCGCACGCCACCUGGCCCUCGCAGCGCGGCCAGCUGAGGGGUUCAUUUUAUUUUAUUUUAUUUUAUUUUUUGAAGUUAAGGCUGAAUUUCGGCUUCAGCGCUUUUGCCAACGUCUCCACUGACAGGAACCAGCAAACUUCAGGACUCAAAUGAGCGUCUUAAUUUAUUGAUGCAAAACAGGUCUGCUUGUCGCCCCCAAUUCGCGGCGCGCACUGUCCCCCACGCCCCCAGCUUCGGUCCCUCCAUUUGAUCUCAGGUGACUAUUUGGAAAGUGUAAUACAUUCCCGAAGCACACUCACCCCCAACAAAUAGUGAUCAAUUAGGAGGGAAGCAUCAUGCCACCUGCUUGGUACAUGCUAAGCAAGUUCACAACUUGAACAGUUGCCUUGUUUCCUUGGCCAGGUCACCCCAUUACCUGCAAUCCGAUGCAAACGUGUGACAGAACUACAAUUAAUUAGGAAGAACAAUACCCUAUGUUAACUCAAGUUACUCUCCUUCCCAAAUGCAGAGAUGUGUACCAAUUAGGAAAAAAUAUUUUCACAUCAUUUUCCCUUUUUGACCUGGCAUGGGAAGGAGCUCUUACAGCCAGCUUGCUGAGGUUAAGAAGUGCCAAAAAUCCCAAUUGUUCAAGGUAAAAAGAAGAGGAUCUUAACACUGUUGAAAGCCCUUUGCCCAAACUUCAGAGACUUGAAGGAAUUGGGGCGGCUAUAGAAGGGAUGGAAUAGCACUGACAAAGUAUGCCUGCACUAUCUUCUUCCUACCUUCCAGCUAAGGACUGAAAUGUCUGCUUAAAAAAAAAAAAAAAAGAUUCUCCACGCCCUCGCCAGAGUGAGUGAGUGACUGAAAACCUAAAUCUGCCUGCCUCGCUGCUGAGUAGAAAAGCCAUCAGUGGUUCUCCACUUCCUCAUGCUGUGAUUCUCCAGCUCAGUUUCUAGUAAAAUUGAGAAUCCAUGAGGUUGGACCAUGUUAAUCCUCCCUGUCUCCAGGAUUUGAGUACCUCGGUGUGAGAAGCAAGAGCCAAUGAAAUGACCAUAGUUUCUUGAGCAAGGCACACAAAGUCCUCUUAGAAAGCUUCACAUGUGAGAUAAAUGCACUCAAAGACUCCUUACAAGUAGCUCUUCGGAGCUUCAGAUGUGAAAUGGAUCAUUCCUCAGUCUGUAAUAGACCCUUCUGUGAAGCUCUUCAAUCAAACCCGAGAAUUCAAGGCGUUUUGUAGCAUCCUAAACAGAAGGAUAUUGAAGGGAGCUGAUUCUGCUUUGAUCCUUGUGCUUGUUGUCAAAGCGCUUGGGAUUGAAGAGACUGUUGGCUACAAUUGACUGUGACAAUUAGGAGAUGAUCAGAGCCCUAGAGUGGAGCACUUAAAGGGGAGGUAAUGUGUGAAUGAAUGAAAAGGCAGGGAUUAUUUUCCAUUCUAAGCAGGAUUGUCAGCACAUUUCUACUUGACUGAAAUUGUUUUGGAAGGUGAGCUGGAACAAGAAUCUUGCAGCUAAAAUGAAGUGACUCUGCAUGUUUUAGAUUUGUCGACUACAGUGUCCUCGAGUGGAAUCAUUCUAUCUUAACUCUGACCUGGAGGAUAGUGAAGUUCGAAAGACUUGUUGCUCUGAAUAUCUUGACCACUGCAUUCUGGCGUUUGUCUUUUCCUUUUUUCCUUCUGACUCAGUGUGGACUUGACUUCCAGAAGUCUGGACUUGGAAAAGAUGGCAACAAUUUUCAUGUGCUUGGAGUGAACAUGGGUUGUUUAUUUCCUUCAAAUACAUAAGGUCUCUUAAGAUAGUUCCCAACACCAGUCAAAGAUUUUGUUACUGAUCUGCAAUAAGUCUUUUGCUCUAGGAUAAAAGAAAGGUUUAUCAGCAAAUUCAAAAUAAAGUUAGCUUUCAUGCUUUUUAUGCUGUCAAAUUAGUGACACAGAUGGGGG
This is a long non-coding RNA of Talpa occidentalis (Iberian mole), 2014 nucleotides long. RefSeq lists it as uncharacterized. The transcript is spliced from 10 exons. The record is from RefSeq and is a predicted model, not a curated record. NCBI's taxonomy places the organism in Eukaryota, Metazoa, Chordata, Mammalia, Eulipotyphla, Talpidae.